AGCGGCGGACGGUGAAGUCAAUUGCUCGGGAAACUCGCCUGAUCGGAGGGGGAUAACUACUGGAAACGGUAGCUAAUACGCAUAACGUCGCAAGACCAAAGAGGGGGACCUUCGGGCCUCUUGCCAUCAGAUGUGCCCAGAUGGGAUUAGCUAGUAGGUGGGGUAACGGUCACCUAGGCGACGAUCCCUAGCUGGUCUGAGAGGAUGACCAGCCACACUGGAACCGAGACACGGUCCAGACUCCUACGGGAGGCAGCAGUGGGGAAUAUUGCACAAUGGGCGCAAGCCUGAUGCAGCCAUGCCGCGUGUAUCGAAGAAGGCCUUCGGGUUGUCAAAGUACUUUCAGCGGGGAGGAAGGUGUGGGUAAUAAACCAAGAAUNCGGACAGUCAAACCCCGCAAGAAAAGAACAGCCACCCGGGGGUUUAAAAUUCCCCGGUUGCCAAGCAAAGCCGGACGGGAUCAAAUAUACACGGGACAGGGGGUGCGACAACGGCGGUUAACACAACAGGGGAAAAAUACACNCGGGGGGACGCCACAAAAGGGCGACAACACAAGGGAGGGACCAUCGGGACACAAAAGACAGGACAUCGGGCGCAAAA
This 600-nucleotide ribosomal RNA is filed under the name uncultured bacterium. Its description in RNAcentral is "bacterial SSU rRNA". The stretch from base 1 to 446 matches the Rfam family "Bacterial small subunit ribosomal RNA", at positions 94 to 539 of the family's 1533-position model. The record is from RNAcentral.